UGGGGAAUUUUGGACAAUGGGCGAAAGCCUGAUCCAGCAAUGCCGCGUGUGUGAAGAAGGCCUUCGGGUUGUAAAGCACUUUUGUCCGGAAAGAAAUCCUUGGCUCUAAUACAGUCGGGGGAUGACGGUACCGGAAGAAUAAGCACCGGCUAACUACGUGCCAGCAGCCGCGGUAAUACGUAGGGUGCAAGCGUUAAUCGGAAUUACUGGGCGUAAAGCGUGCGCAGGCGGUUUGCUAAGACCGAUGUGAAAUCCCCGGGCUCAACCUGGGAACUGCAUUGGUGACUGGCAGGCUAGAGUAUGGCAGAGGGGGGUAGAAUUCCACGUGUAGCAGUGAAAUGCGUAGAGAUGUGGAGGAAUACCGAUGGCGAAGGCAGCCCCCUGGGCCAAUACUGACGCUCAUGCACGAAAGCGUGGGGAGCAAACAGGAUUAGAUACCCUGGUAGUCCACGCCCUAAACGAUGUCAGCUAGUUGUUGGGGAUUCAUUUCCUAGUAACGUAGCUAACGCGUGAAGUUGACCGCCUGGGGAGUACGGUCGCAAGAUUAAAACUC
RNAcentral lists this ribosomal RNA (553 nucleotides) under uncultured bacterium. RNAcentral's name for it is "partial 16S ribosomal RNA". It matches the Rfam family "Bacterial small subunit ribosomal RNA", at positions 355 to 902 of the family's 1533-position model. The record is from RNAcentral.